RNAcentral lists this unclassified non-coding RNA (332 nucleotides) under soil metagenome. RNAcentral describes it as "partial contains 5.8S ribosomal RNA, internal transcribed spacer 2, and large subunit ribosomal RNA". The stretch from base 1 to 120 matches the Rfam family "5.8S ribosomal RNA", at positions 35 to 154 of the family's 154-position model. The record is from RNAcentral.
GAUGAAGAACGCAGCGAAAUGCGAUAAGUAAUGUGAAUUGCAGAAUUCAGUGAAUCAUCGAAUCUUUGAACGCACAUUGCGCCCGCCAGUAUUCUGGCGAGCAUGCCUGUUCGAGCGUCAUUUCAACCAUCAAGCCCCAGGCUUGUGUUGGAGCCCUGCGGCUGCCGCAGCCUCCCAAAACCAGUGGCGGGCUCGCUAUCACACCGAGUGCAGUAGUUUACUCUUCGCUCAGGGCGUGUGGCGGGUGCUAGCCGUGAAACCCCCAACUUCUCAAGGUUGACCUCGGAUCAGGUAGGAAUACCCGCUGAACUUAAGCAUAUCAAUAAGCGGGG